CUAGGGAACCGUUAGGGAUUAGGUGUAGCACCAAAUAUCUCCUUUGGCCCAUCUCUUCUUAAGCAUCCCAAAGGUUUCUGCUCUAUUACUCCAUGUCAUAUGCCUUACAGUUCAGGUUCCAGGGAGACAUAAGGAGACCUCACCUUUCCAGAGACUGAGCAGGCUGUAUAGGAAGCAUGAUUCUGGCAUCUGCUUGGCUUCUGGGAAGGCCUCAGGAAAAUUUUACUCAUGGCAGAAGGCAAAGCGGGCGCAGGAGCCUUCACAUGGCUGGAGCAGAAAAAAGAGAGGGCUUGAGGUUGGAGUGAGUGUUUUCAUACCCUUCCAUCCCUCACACCCCAUGAGGACACAGCAUUCAUCUUCCCUGGAGGAUGUAGCAACAAGCACCAUCUUGGAAGCAAAGACCGGGACCCUUAUCAGACAGUACCUUGAUCUAGAACUUCCCAG
This 444-nucleotide long non-coding RNA is filed under the name Callithrix jacchus (white-tufted-ear marmoset). RNAcentral describes it as "lncRNA (ENSCJAG00000075400.1)". Lineage: Eukaryota; Metazoa; Chordata; Mammalia; Primates; Cebidae. The record is from RNAcentral.